This 440-nucleotide long non-coding RNA is filed under the name Zonotrichia albicollis (white-throated sparrow). RNAcentral's name for it is "lncRNA (ENSZALG00000000636.1)". The record is from RNAcentral. Lineage: Eukaryota; Metazoa; Chordata; Aves; Passeriformes; Passerellidae.
GGGAUCUGUUCAUUUCUCAGUGAGGGAUCUGUUCAUUUCUGUGAGGGAUCUGUUCAUUUCUCAGUGAGGGAUCUGUUCAUUUCUCAGUGAGGGGAUCUGUUCAUUUCUCAGUGAGGGAUCUGUUCAUUUCUGUGAGGGGAUCUGUUCAUUUCUCAGUGAGGGGAUCUGUUCAUUUCUCAGUGAGGGAUCUGUUCAUUUCUGUGAGGGCUCUGUUCAUUUCUCAGUGAGGGCUCUGUUCAUUUCUNGAUAAUCCCUGCCCUGGAGGGAGAUGGAAUCAUCCCCCAGGUGAGACAGGGACCAAACCCGGGAUAAUCCCUGAUCUAGAGCAGGCUGGAAUCAUCCCCCAGGUGAGACAGGGACCAAACCCGGGGUAAUCCAUGCCCUGGAGGGAGAUGGAAUCGUCCCCCAGGUGAGACAGGGACCAAACCCAGGGUAAUUCC